AGGAUGAACGCUAGCGGCAGGCCUAAUACAUGCAAGUCGAACGGUCGGUAGCAAUACUGAUAGUGGCGCACGGGUGCGUAACGCGUAGCCAACCUACCCACAUCUGGGGGGAUAGCCCGCCGAAAGGCGGAUUAAUACCGCAUAAGACAGCGGAGCGGCAUCGCUUGGUUGUUAAAGAUUUAUUGGAUGUGGAUGGGGCUGCGUGCCAUUAGCUAGUUGGGGGGGUAACGCCCACCAAGGCGACGAUGGCUA
Molecule: ribosomal RNA, 252 nt
Filed under: uncultured bacterium
Lineage: Bacteria
Description: partial small subunit ribosomal RNA
Rfam family: Bacterial small subunit ribosomal RNA
Source: RNAcentral